AUACUGUAAAGAGGGAAUCAUAACCCUCA
Molecule: non-coding RNA, 29 nt
Filed under: Trypanosoma brucei brucei
Lineage: Eukaryota; Euglenozoa; Kinetoplastea; Trypanosomatida; Trypanosomatidae
Source: RNAcentral